CUUGGAGUGAGACACUAUACUAACUCUGGAGUUCUUAUAGUUAACCAGGAGUUUGAGGUUCUCCAGUGGAGACAGACAAGAAACAAGUUAGCAAUAUGUGACAAGCCCUAAAAGACUCAAGGGAAAAGGAUGCUGGCAGUGGGGGGUGGGGACGGGUGCAGUUCUGAGAAGGAGAAUAGGUCUGGGCUGAUGUGGUGAUGUGGAUAGAUCCACCUGCAUACCUGCCGUCAUGUUCAGAGCAGCAGGAGAGAGACAACGGAGGGGAGGAGUCCUGUGAACAUCUACUGAAGGCUUCCUGAGAUCACAGAGGCAUGGGUUAAGACGGCAGAGUCACAAGAUGGAAGAAGAAUGGAUCUUGAACUACCACACGGAUGAGAUCCGCUCUGGAGAUCAUGCAACCUGUAUCAGAUACAUUGAAGAAUUCUUCUGCGGUCAUUCUCAGCACCCCAUGUCGGAAUGACAUUGCUGCAGUUGCCUACACACAUUUGCAAUUGACAGAUCCUGUCAAUAGCAUGAGUCACUCUCGCUACAUAAACGAAGCCAGAAAUAUUGAGACCAAUAUGAACUGGAAGUUACCUGAUGGGGCCAAAACAAUUCUCUGUGGAUUGAAAACACGAAGGUUGAGAGGUGGACAUGAAGGCCUGAGAAGAGACCACCCCUGGGGAUAUAGAUGUGUGAGAUAUUUAGCAAUUUAAUUAAGUCGGUAUCUACAUGUAUCUACUUGUACACCUAUUAUCUGAGUUAACUCCAUAAUACCUGUGUCUGCAUAUCUGUAUAUUUAUGUCCAUUAACAAAUGAUCUGGAAAUUUGAUAGAUGCUAAGAACACAGUUGUUACAAAAAGAAGAUAAUCAGGUUAUCUUUAAUGAACCUAUUAAGAUCAUAUUUCUCUAGUAUCGGUGAUAACAAUUUUAUUAAUAAUAGUGUCAUAUAGGUGAUUCCCUAAAUCAUGGUGCCUAAACAAUGGUUUAGACCGCUGAAAUUUAUUUUUUAAAAAUAACCAUACAGGUCUAAUUCAUGAUUGUAAACAAGAUGGUCUAAAUUUUGGAAUCCACUAGAGUUCCAUCCUUGGCUCUUCUUCAAGCGUCAUCUAUUCUUUACGGGUGACCCCAUUUACUAUGUCAGCUUCGACUGGUCUGUAUACACCAUCAACCUCUGAUUCUGCAUCCAUCAUUCCUCCUGUUCCUGGAUUCUCUUUUUCAUUGUAAAAACCUACUGGACACAAGUGUUUAUCAUCUGAAACUCAGUGUAUCACCUGAAUCCCAGCAAAUCCAAUAAAUCUCUCCUCACUUUGCCCUUUUGGCUCUCU
RNAcentral lists this long non-coding RNA (1307 nucleotides) under Vulpes vulpes (red fox). RNAcentral's name for it is "lncRNA (ENSVVUG00000006102.1)". The record is from RNAcentral. Lineage: Eukaryota; Metazoa; Chordata; Mammalia; Carnivora; Canidae.